RNAcentral lists this small RNA (134 nucleotides) under Salmonella enterica subsp. enterica serovar Enteritidis. Its description in RNAcentral is "RtT sRNA". It matches the Rfam family "RtT RNA". From Rfam's summary of the family: This family represents a bacterial cis-regulatory element known as RtT RNA. The exact function of RtT is unknown although it is thought that it may be involved in changing the cellular response in relation to amino acid starvation. The record is from RNAcentral. Lineage: Bacteria; Pseudomonadati; Pseudomonadota; Gammaproteobacteria; Enterobacterales; Enterobacteriaceae.
UGUAUCUGAAGUCUGACGAGGAUGAGAACCUCCGGGGGCAAGAGGUGCGACUCGAGCGAAGCGAGAGAACGUUGCGUCAGCAACGGCCCGCAGGGCGAGCCACGCAGUGGCGAGUCAUCCUCUAUCACCGACCA